This 273-nucleotide ribosomal RNA is filed under the name uncultured bacterium. RNAcentral's name for it is "partial 16S ribosomal RNA". It matches the Rfam family "Bacterial small subunit ribosomal RNA", at positions 524 to 796 of the family's 1533-position model. The record is from RNAcentral.
AACGUAGGGUUCGAGCGUUAUCCGGAAUUACUGGGCGUAAAGCGCGUGUAGGCGGUGAUGGAAGUCGGACGUAAAAGCUCCUGGCCCAACUGGGAGAGGCCGUUCGAAACUCCAUGACUAGAGGCUAGUAGAGGCAAGUGGAAUUCCCGGUGUAGUGGUGAAAUGCGUAGAUAUCGGGAGGAAGACCAGAGGCGAAGGCGGCUUGCUGGGCUGUGCCUGACGCUGAGACGCGAAAGCCAGGGGAGAGAACGGGAUUAGAAACCCCCGUAGUCC